This 3276-nucleotide long non-coding RNA is filed under the name Homo sapiens (human). RNAcentral describes it as "HSALNT0394988". The record is from RNAcentral. Lineage: Eukaryota; Metazoa; Chordata; Mammalia; Primates; Hominidae.
CUGUGUUGUAGCCACAGCUGGAGCCUGGGUCCUCUGCACGGAGACUCUGGGUCGGCCUUGACCAGGUGUGGUCAGUGAAUUCCUGAUAGGAAGACUUGGUGAAUACAGGCUCCUUCCAAAGGUCGGGGGGUCAGGUAGCUGUAGGUCUUAGAGCUGUAAGGUCAAAGAUGGCCUUGGCGCAGUUGCCCAGGGUGGCAGUGCAGCCCCUGGCUGAGGUGUAGCAGACAUCCAUACCAGCCAUCAUGAGCAGCUUCUUGGGCACAGGCGCCGAGACGGUGCCAGUGCCCCUGGGCGUGGGGAUGAAGCCGACCAGCACAGAGCCGCAGUGGCCUGUCACCUUGCAAGGGACGGUGUGGGGCUUGCCGAUCUUGUUCCCCCAGUAGCCUCUGCGCACGGGGACAAUGGAGAGCUUGGCCAGGAUAAUGGCCCCGCGGAUGGCAGUGGCCACCUCUUUGGAGCACUUAACACGCAGACCGACGUGGCAAUUAUAGUCCCCGAUGGCAACAAAUGCCUUGAACCUGGUGCGCUGGCCGGCGCGGGUCUGCUUCUGCACCGGCAUAAUCUUCAAAACCUCGUCCUUGAGAGAGGCCCCCAGGAAAAAGCCAAUGAUCUCAGAUUCCUUGAUGGGCAGGGAGAAGAGAUAGGUCUCCUCCAGGGACUUGAUCUUCAUGUCCUUGACCAGGAGGCCCAGCUUGGUAAUGGGUGUCCACCCCUUAUCCUUGGCCUUGACUCCGCGAGCUCCGCAGCCUCGGCCCUGGCCCGGUCCACGGCCAGAUCCACGGCCGCGACCCCGGCCCGCAUGCCACUGCGGAAACCUCAGCGGAAACCACCGCAGUUCCCCAUCCCAGGGUCCCCCGGGGCUUCCGGCCCCCGCUGCACCGGCGUUAUCCGCCAUUUGGUGUUUUCUCAGAGAAGACGUAGAAGCUGUUCUUGUUCGUCAUCACUACGUAACAUCCUUUGUUUUAGAAGCUUUUCUAUGUUCCUCAUCGCUACGUAACUUCCUUUGUUUUAGAAGCUCUUCUAUGUUCCUCAUCACUAGGUAACUUCCUUUGUUUUAGAAGCUCUGCUAUGUUCCUCAUCACUAUGUAACUUGUUUGUUUUAGAAGCUGUUCUAGGUUCGUCAUCACGACGUAACAUCCUUCGUUUCCUGUUCUUAAUGGCUUUCAGAGAAAACCCGAAGUCAGAAGCACGCCGGCAUCCACUUGCGGCCGCCCUGCCUGAAUAUGACAUGGAUGGGUGUGACCAACGUAGAGUCUUCAGGAGGCUCGGUUUGGUAACUUAGGCAUAGUUAAUACAUCCACAUCAUUUUUCUAAAUUCUAUGUUCUUUCGUCUCUUUCUUCACAUUUAUUCAUCUAAAAAUGGAGGGAGAGGUUCAAAAUUUUUUUAAAAAACACACAAGAAUAGUGAGCCUUCUUCAUUUGGAAUUCAUCCCAGUGUUAAAUGAAAGAAUAUUGUGCAAAUUUCCAGGAAAAUGUCAAUGAUGACUGGCUAAAUUGGAACAAAUAUCGAAAGACUCCAAAAUGUUUACAUCCCAGCUGGAGGCAAGUGUUUCAUUCCCAGUCAGGGACGGGACAAAGUGAGACUGCAGCAGCGGAACAGGCGCAGCCGGGGUUCCAGCCCUCAGCAUCACCACGGUGCAUUUGUCCCUGAGGACACCAGGAGUUGUGACAAAUCCUGUUCCUUUGCUUUUAGAGGUUUUGUUGUAGAAGCCAUCCCCAUUUUGACCACUCCAAUAAUACUGUAAGCAGAGUUCAAAAGCUGAAGCGGGUACACUGUGCCUCCAGGUUAUGUUUGUGGAUGAUACCCUAUCAGGGUCUGAAUGUCGUCUGACAGUUGCAUCAUUUCCCUGGAAGAACACGUGUAGACAGGCCAGCCAGUGGCCCUCCCUGUACAGCAGUGGCUGUGGCAGUCAGUGUUGAGUGUGGAACUAGGACUGUGUGAUCACCUCCCGGUACUUCCCUUUCCUUAUCUUUUUUUUUUUUUUUUUUUUUUUUUUUUUUUUUUAGACAGUCUCGCUCUGUCGCCCAGGCUGGAGUGCAGUGGUGUGAUCUCGGCUCACUGCAACCUCCACCUCCCGGGUUCAGGCGAUUCUCCUGCCCAGCCUCCUGAGUAGCUGGGAUUACAGGCACCCGCCACCAUACCUGGUUAAUUUUGUUUUGUGUUUUUAAUAGAGACGGGGUUUCACCACGUUGGCCAGGCUGGUCUCAAACUCCUGAUGUCAGGUGAUCCGCCCGCCUCGGCCUCCCAAAGUGCUGGGAUUACAGGCGUGAGCCACUGCGCUGGGCCUAAUUUUUUGUAUUUUUAGUAGAGACAGGGUUUCGCCAUGUUGGCCAGGCUGGUCCUUAUCUUAACAUAAAGAAUGAUAAGGACUUCCUCACAGACUGUUGAGAGAAUUAAAUAAGUCAACACACAUAUAGUACUUAGAGGAGUGUGCAGUAAAUAUUAGUUUAAUGAUGUGAAUACACACACAGGCAUACUUGAUAAAGCCUAGUGAAUAUUUGAUCUGUCAGUAACAAAAUAUUCAAAAGACAGCAAUGAAGAUCAGCAGUUUCUUUUAUAAUUCAGGAACUAGAUAGCCACAAGCAAUACAGUUUCACUUUGACUUUCAGACACCACUGAAACACCUGUGCUAGUAUUCAGGCUAAAGCUCUUGAAGAGGGUAAAAUAUUUUCUCCAUCUACCUACCUCUGGCCACAAGCACUUAUGUGAAUUGGAACUCAGGAAAUGGUCAAAAUCGAUGUACUCACCCCUAUUUAUAUGAGUGUUGAUUUAAAUAAAUUAUUGAGAUAAUUUAACGCAUUGAUUGUUCAGAUUAGAAUUAAACAGAGUGACCUUUGAAAAUUUCAUCUCAUGAUUACUCUUCAUGGUACCUACCAUCAACUCUUUUCUUAACCAUUGCUCAAUACUUAAUCCGCACUCCUAGUCCUACCUUCUAGCUUGAAGUUAUCAUUAAACUAAAUAACAGCCUUUAAAUGAAAAGCAGGAUGAUACAGUCUCAUUAUCUAAAUACAUAAAUCAUUUGGUUUUAAUGCCACCAAAAUCCAUCACCACAGUAGCAGUGCCUUUCCCUUGUAACAUGGACAUUGUUUCUAGGUACUUGUUCUUCUAAGUCAGAAAUGCUCUUCCAUUAUUACAUACUUCAUCUGUGACAACCAUUUCUGAAUUCAGGUUUUGUUUGUUUGUUUGUUUUUUGGAGACAAGGUCUUGCUCUGUCACCCAGGCUGGAGUGCAAUGGUAUGAUCUCAGCUCACUGCAGCCUGGACCUCCUGGGCUCA